GUUGAUUGCACGUUUGGAAAAAAUUGAAAUCCUUAGUGGGAGUGAGUUACUGGUGUCCUGCUUUACCAAGGCUGCUAUACAUGAAGAUUACUUCACAAGUACGCCAUUAUGAAGUAGGAAUAAGUUCAUCAUCAUCGGAGUUUAUAAUUUUGUUGUUUAAUCAAUAGUUUUUUAGUUCAUCGUUUUGU
Papaver somniferum (opium poppy) is the source of this 188-nucleotide long non-coding RNA. RefSeq lists it as uncharacterized. Lineage: Eukaryota; Viridiplantae; Streptophyta; Magnoliopsida; Ranunculales; Papaveraceae. The record is from RefSeq and is a predicted model, not a curated record. The transcript is spliced from 3 exons.